CUGUCGGUGCUCCCCGGGAGGGGAGAUAAUAGGGAAACAGGUGCAAGACCUGUGCAGUCACGCUGCCGUAAGGAACAGCUUUUCUCCACGCGCAAUGCAGCCACUGGGAAACCGGGAAGGCGGAGGCAAAGCGUUAAUUCCGAGCCGGAAUACCUGCCGACAUUU
RNAcentral lists this non-coding RNA (165 nucleotides) under pig gut metagenome. The record is from RNAcentral.